Molecule: long non-coding RNA, 2721 nt
Filed under: Salmo salar (Atlantic salmon)
Lineage: Eukaryota; Metazoa; Chordata; Actinopteri; Salmoniformes; Salmonidae
Description: lncRNA (ENSSSAG00000119385.1)
Source: RNAcentral
GUGAGCCUUGGAACCCCAAAGAACUUCCGGUGCAUUUGUAAACAGCUGGUCUGUUGCGGCUGUAAACAGUUUAAAACUUGCCUGCAUGGAUAGUAACGUUAGCAGCAGGAGGUGGCGGCACCAGGAUAAUGUGUAGCACACGGACAUAGAGACCUGUGAAAGCUGCUAAACCCAGUCUACGGAUGAAGGGCUCAAAGAAAGUUCCAAGUCCUGGAGAGACUGAAGGAUGUGCAGCUGAAGCUGAUGUCCUUGAUCAUUGGUGUAGGUGUAACAAUCCUUGUAUGGCAGACCUAGGACGCAACCCCUGUCCACAACAGCACUUCAUACCAAGAAAGCAGUGCCCAUUAUCCUACCAAAACCAUGAUCUUGGUUGGGCAAGGAUAAAAGUACUUCAGGGCAGGUGCAUGGUGUAGCUCAGCAGACCCUAGCGUACAGGCUGUGCGGCCCGGGUGACCCAUGGUUGUCGCAGUGGACCACCCACAUUGCUUGCACCAGACGAUGAAAAUUAUCUGGGGCAGUACUGUAUCUACUGCACCAGGCAUGGGUUCCCCUUCACCAGACAGAGGCUGAUGAAAUACGCCGACAAAAUACACAGGUUUCGGCACCCAUGGGAAACAAUCCCACCACUGGGGAAGAGGUGGUGGGAAAUGUUUAGGAGGAGGCACAAGAACCUGAGCAUGAGGAGGCCAGACACUCUGGACUGGGGGAGAGCUGAGUGUGCUACACGUCUGACGACGGACGCCUUCUUCACUUCUUAUGAGAAGCACUUGGAGGAGAGUGGGUUGAGGGAGAAACCCAGACAAAAUCUAUAACUGCGAUGAGUCUGGGUUUCGAAGCGACUAGAGCAGGCACAAAGUGCUUGCUCCCUGGGGUGCAAAACACAUGUACCAGCAGGCUCCUGCUUCAACGCAGCUGGGGAGGACGUCCCCCAGUUUAUCAUCUACCCCAAGUGUUUCUCCCCCCCAGCCUUUGGAUGGUAAAACAGUGGCUACAUUGACGGGAACCUGUUCAGGAAGUGGUUUCAGCACUUCAUUAAGCAUGCAGUGAAGGAGCGCCCUCUCCUUCUCCUCUUUGAUGGGCACAAGAGCCACAUGGACCCGGAGGUGCUCGCUGCGGCACUAAGGGAAGGGGUUAUACUGCUUUGUCUUCCACCACACUGCACCCAUGUCCUGCAGCCGCUGGACGUGGCAUACUUUGGUCCUUUAAAGGCGGAGUUCUCCAAGGUAGCCAUUUUGACCACUCCUACAUGGUAAACAAAUCAGAAUUUGCCAGAGUAUUCCGCUACCCGUACCAGCGCUGCAAGGACAUGUGCUAUGUGGUGGAAAGGUUUAAGAAGUGUGGCCUCUUCCCUUUUGACCCUUCAACUAUUGAAGGGUCCUGUUGAAUGCCGUCUCGGUCCCUACCGGAUCCCACCACCGCCUCCCCUGGAACCAGCAGCACUGUGCCAUCCAUCAGCGCCUCCUCCCCAGCGACCACAGGAGGACCCUCAGCCCCUGAUCCAGUCCCAGCUCCAGCCCUAGCUCUAGAAGAGCACCCCCUAUUAGAGGGGGGGCUGAUAGCAAAGGACCUGGGGCACAUACUUACUGUCCUGAAGUAUCAGCUAGACCGAUAAAGAAGACUCCCUGUGGUCGCUGCAUGCCUCACCGGGGAGGAAUACACGCGCCAUUGGCAGGAGAGGGGCGAGAAGGAGAGGGCCGAGGCAGAGGAGAAAGAACGUCGGGCAGCCCUCAGAACACAGAGGGCAAAGGAGAGGGCUGCCAUGGAUGAGACCAUUGACGCCUCUGCUGGAGGCCCCGCUGGAACCACUCCUGACAGCUGCAUCACCAUUGCCAGUGUCUCCCAGUGUGCAACACCUGUAGGAGCCGCCGGAGUCCCCAGCUGCAGAAGAAGGCCACGUGCCUACUCUCCUGACUAUCGUCGGCCCCUCAACCCCAACAUUACACCAGCUCCUCCAAGCCAUCGUCAGCGGUUUCGUCCACCACCACGAUGCACACCACCCCCCCUGUCUGGCACCAGUAACGCGGCCUACUCUGGCCCAGCUGCCUCCUCUGUCUCCCCUGGUCACACCACCAUAGCAGCCUUGUCUGGUGUCCCUGCAAUUCGAAUACAGCCACCUCCACAGUCCACAGCACCCGCCCUCAAGCACAGAAAAGAGAAAAGCUCCACCGGCCACCUCUGUCACACCACCCAUGGCACCACUCUCAGAAGACACCACCUGCUGUGCUCGCUGCGGAGAGCAUGAUCCACCUGCAAGCUUUCCGCAGGAGUGUAGGUCCGAGGUGCCAUGGGUGUGUUGUGACUUCUACCAGCACUGGUUCCACUGCAGGUGUGUGCAGUGGGAUCCAGAGGUGGCGGUGAAGAUUGAUUUUUGUUGUGAUUUUGUUGACAAUAUAGGGAUUGAGGUCAAGAUUUAAUUGUUUGUUUUCAUAUUAAAUUAGUUAUUUGUAAAAAGAAAUAUGCUAAAAGAUAAUAUAUAUAUACAUAUUUAUUCAACCCAUCUUGUGUAUUUCUUCCUUUACUUUCCAAGUGCAUCUCUGCAACACAAACUCAUGUCAAUGCACAUGACUGAAAUUCAAGUUUUAUUUGAUGUAAAUUAUUCAUACUCAUUUAUAUUUUAGUAUUAAACUGUGAUCUAUUUUCUCAAAACACAAGAUUAAUCUGUAAAACUAAUUAUGAGACAUUAUUUGGUUACAACACUGAAUAUGUUGGUGAAGAACCAUU